ACCUGCCUUUGAGUGGGGAAGUAACGCUGGGAAACCAGCGCUAAUACCGCAUGCGCUCUCGGUUUCACUAUCGAGAGGAAAGCUUGAUGCGCUCAAAGAGGGGCCUGCGGCGGAUUAGCUAGUCGGUGGGGUAACGGCCUACCGAGGCAUCGAUCCGUAGCUGGUCUGAGAGGAUGAUCAGCCACACUGGGACUGAGACACGGCCCAG
RNAcentral lists this ribosomal RNA (208 nucleotides) under uncultured bacterium. RNAcentral's name for it is "partial 16S ribosomal RNA". It matches the Rfam family "Bacterial small subunit ribosomal RNA", at positions 124 to 334 of the family's 1533-position model. The record is from RNAcentral.